GUGUCAGCAGCCGCGCGGUAAAACGUAGGGAGCGAGCGUUGUUCGGAAUCAUUGGGCGUAAAGAGCGCGUAGGCGGCUUGGCAAGUCCGUUGUGAAAUCUCACAGCUUAACUGUGAAACUGCGACGGAAACUGCCUCGCUAGAGUGCGGGAGAGGAGAGUGGAAUUCCCAGUGUAGAGGUGAAAUUCGUAGAUAUUGGGGGGAACACCGGUGGCGAAGGCGGCUCUCUGGACCGCAACUGACGCUGAGGCGCGAAAGCUAGGGGAGCAAACGGGAUUAGAUACCCCGGUAGUCCUAGCCGUAAACGAUGGGCACUAGGUGUAGGAGGUAUUGACCCCUUCUGUGCCGCAGCUAACGCAUUAAGUGCCCCGCCUGGGGAGUACGGUCGCAAGACUAAAACUCAAAGGAAUUGACGGGGGCCCGCACAAGCGGUGGAGCAUGUGGUUUAAUUCGACGCAACGCGAAGAACCUUACCUGGGUUUGACAUCCCGCGACCGCAACAGAGAUGUUGCUUUCCUUCGGGACGCGGAGACAGGUGCUGCAUGGCUGUCGUCAGCUCGUGUCGUGAGAUGUUGGGUUAAGUCCCGCAACGAGCGCAACCCAUGCCCUUAGUUGCCAGCGGUUCGGCCGGGAACUCUAAGGGAACUGCCGGUGACAAACCGGAGGAAGGUGUGGAUGACGUCAAGUCCUCAUGGCCUUUAUGCCCAGGGCUACACACGUGCUACAAUGGCCGGUACAAAGGGUCGCAAAUCCGCGAGGAGAAGCCAAUCCCAAAAAGCCGGUCUCAGUUCAGAUUGCAGGCUGCAACUCGCCUGCAUGAAGUCGGAAUCGCUAGUAAUCCCGGAUCAGCAUGCCGGGGUGAAUACGUUCCCGGGCCUUGUACACACCGCCCGUCACACCACGAAAGCCGGUUGUACCAGAAGUCGCUGGGCCAACCCGCAAGGGAGGCAGUGCCGAAGUAUGAUCGUGAUUGGGGUGAAGUCGUAACAAGUAACAAUCCAUAUGACUAG
RNAcentral lists this ribosomal RNA (1009 nucleotides) under uncultured bacterium. RNAcentral describes it as "bacterial SSU rRNA". It matches the Rfam family "Bacterial small subunit ribosomal RNA", at positions 505 to 1533 of the family's 1533-position model. The record is from RNAcentral.